GACGAACGCUGGCGGCGUGCUUAACACAUGCAAGUCGAGCGGAAAGGCCCUUCGGGGUACUCGAGCGGCGAACGGGUGAGUAACACGUGAGUAACCUGCCCCAGACUUUGGGAUAACCCUCGGAAACGGGGGCUAAUACCGGAUACGACACAGCUUCGCAUGGGGGCUGUGUGGAAAGUUUUUCGGUUUGGGAUGGGCGCGCGGCCUAUCAGCUUGUUGGUGGGGUGAUGGCCUACCAAGGCGACGACGGGUAGCCGGCCCGAGAGGGCGAACGGCCACAAGGGGCCUGAGAGACGGAGCAGACUGGUACGGGCGGCAACAGUGGGGAACAUUGCGCAAUGGGGGCACGCCUGAUGCAGAGACCCUGGGUGCGGGAAGCCCGCUUUCGAGUUAUAAACAUAUUUCAGCGGAACUGAAGACUACGUGACGGUACCUGCACAAGAAGCCACGGCCAACUACGUG
Molecule: ribosomal RNA, 462 nt
Filed under: uncultured bacterium
Lineage: Bacteria
Description: partial 16S ribosomal RNA
Rfam family: Bacterial small subunit ribosomal RNA
Source: RNAcentral